AGUCGAACGCUGAAGCCCAGCUUGCUGGGGUGGAUGAGUGGCGAACGGGUGAGUAACACGUGAGUAACCUUCCCUUGACUCUGGGAUAAGCCUGGGAAACCGGGUCUAAUACCGGAUGCGACCCUCUACCGCAUGGUGGGGGGUGGAAAGAUUUAUCGGUCUUGGAUGGACUCGCGGCCUAUCAGCUUGUUGGUGGGGUAAUGGCCCACCAAGGCGACGACGGGUAGCCGGCCUGAGAGGGUGACCGGCCACACUGGGACUGAGACACGGCCCAGACUCCUACGGGAGGCAGCAGUGGGGAAUAUUGCACAAUGGGCGCAAGCCUGAUGCAGCGACGCCGCGUGAGGGAUGACGGCCUUCGGGUUGUAAACCUCUUUCAGUAGGGAAGAAGCGAAAGUGACGGUACCUGCAGAAGAAGCGCCGGCUAACUACGUGCCAGCAGCCGCGGUAAUACGUAGGGCGCGAGCGUUAUCCGGAAUUAUUGGGCGUAAAGAGCUCGUAGGCGGUUUGUCGCGUCUGCCGUGAAAGUCCGGGGCUUAACCCCGGAUCUGCGGUGGGUACGGGCAGACUGGAGUGCAGUAGGGGAGACUGGAAUUCCUGGUGUAGCGGUGAAAUGCGCAGAUAUCANGAGGAACACCGAUGGCGAAGGCAGGUCUCUGGGCUGUUACUGACGCUGAGGAGCGAAAGCAUGGGGAGCGAACAGGAUUAGAUACCCUGGUAGUCCAUGCCGU
Molecule: ribosomal RNA, 731 nt
Filed under: Microbacterium sp. CH26a
Lineage: Bacteria; Bacillati; Actinomycetota; Actinomycetes; Micrococcales; Microbacteriaceae
Description: bacterial SSU rRNA
Rfam family: Bacterial small subunit ribosomal RNA
Source: RNAcentral